AUUGAACGCUGGCGGCAUGCCUUACACAUGCAAGUCGAGCGCGAAAGGGGGCAACCCCGAGUAGAGCGGCGGACGGGUGAGUAACACAUCGGAACGUGCCCAGUAGUGGGGGACAACCUCGAGAAAUCGAGGCUAAUACCGCAUACGACCCACGGGUGAAAGCGGGGGACCGCAAGGCCUCGCGCUAUUGGAGCGGCCGAUGUCCGAUUAGCUAGUUGGCGGGGUAAGAGCCCACCAAGGCGACGAUCGGUAGCUGGUCUGAGAGGACGACCAGCCACACUGGGACUGAGACACGGCCCAGACUCCUACGGGAGGCAGCAGUGGGGAAUUUUGGACAAUGGGGGCAACCCUGAUCCAGCCAUGCCGCGUGCGGGAAGAAGGCCUUCGGUUGUAACCG
RNAcentral lists this ribosomal RNA (397 nucleotides) under uncultured bacterium. RNAcentral's name for it is "bacterial SSU rRNA". It matches the Rfam family "Bacterial small subunit ribosomal RNA", at positions 29 to 432 of the family's 1533-position model. The record is from RNAcentral.